Molecule: ribosomal RNA, 623 nt
Filed under: uncultured archaeon
Lineage: Archaea
Description: bacterial SSU rRNA
Rfam family: Archaeal small subunit ribosomal RNA
Source: RNAcentral
AUAAUACUCCAUAGAUUAGAGACACUGGAAUGUUCUUUAGUCGAAAGUUCUGGCGCCUUAGGAUGGAUCUGCGGUCGAUUAGGUUGUUGUUGGGGUAACGGCCCAACAAGCCUGUAAUCGAUACGGGUUGUGGGAGCAAGAGCCCGGAGAUGGAAUCUGAGUCACGAUUCCAGGCCCUACGGGGCGCAGCAGGCGCGAAAACUUUACAAUGCAGGAAACUGUGAUAAGGGAACUCCGAGUGCCCGUAUACGCGGGCUGUCCAGGUGUUUAAAAAUCAUCUGAAGAAAGGGCCGGGCAAGACCGGUGCCAGCCGCCGCGGUAAUACCGGCGGCUCGAGUGGUGGCCACUAUUAGUGGGCUUAAAGCGUCCGUAGCUGGACCGAUAAGUCUCUUGGGAAAUCCGCCGGCUCAACCGGCGGGCGUCUAAGGGAUACUGUUAGUCUAGGGACCGGGAGAGGUGAGAGGUACUCCGGGGGUAGGAGUGAAAUCCUGUAAUCCCCGGGGGACCACCGAUGGCGAAGGCAUCUCACCAGAACGGCUCCGACAGUGAGGGACGAAAGCUGGGGGAGCGAACCGGAUUAGAUACCCGGGUAGUCCCAGCCGUAAACUAUGCGCGUUAGGUGU